This 448-nucleotide ribosomal RNA is filed under the name uncultured bacterium. RNAcentral's name for it is "SSU rRNA". It matches the Rfam family "Bacterial small subunit ribosomal RNA", at positions 26 to 518 of the family's 1533-position model. The record is from RNAcentral.
AGAACGAACGCUGGCGGCAGGCUUAACACAUGCAAGUCGAACGCGUGUAGCAAUACACGAGUGGCGCACGGGUGAGUAACGCGUGGAUAUCUGCCUUUUGGUUCGGAAUAACCCCGGGAAACUGGGGCUAAUACCGGAUGGUUCCUACGGGAUAAAGAUUUAUCGCCAAAAGAUGAGUCCGCGUCCGAUUAGCUAGUUGGUGGGGUAAUGGCCUACCAAGGCGACGAUCGGUAGCUGGUCUGAGAGGACGAUCAGCCACACUGGGACUGAGACACGGCCCAGACUCCUACGGGAGGCAGCAGUGGGGAAUAUUGGACAAUGGGGGCAACCCUGAUCCAGCCAUGCCGCGUGAGUGAUGAAGGCCUUCGGGUUGUAAAGCUCUUUUGGCGGGGUACGAUGAUGACGGUACCCGCAGAAUAAGCCCGGCUAACUUCGUGCCAGCAGCCGC